UAGGAAUCUUCCACAAUGGACGAAAGUCUGAUGGAGCAACGCCGCGUGAGUGAAGAAGGGUUUCGGCUCGUAAAACUCUGUUGUUAAAGAAGAACAUAUCUGAGAGUAACUGUUCAGGUAUUGACGGUAUUUAACCAGAAAGCCACGGCUAACUACGUGCCAG
RNAcentral lists this ribosomal RNA (163 nucleotides) under uncultured bacterium. RNAcentral describes it as "partial 16S ribosomal RNA". It matches the Rfam family "Bacterial small subunit ribosomal RNA", at positions 356 to 511 of the family's 1533-position model. The record is from RNAcentral.